CAGCCGCCGCGGUAAAACGUAGGGUGCAAGCGUUAAUCGGAAUUACUGGGCGUAAAGCGUGCGCAGGCGGUUUUGUAAGACAGAGGUGAAAUCCCCGGGCUCAACCUGGGAACUGCCUUUGUGACUGCAAGGCUAGAGUACGGCAGAGGGGGAUGGAAUUCCGCGUGUAGCAGUGAAAUGCGUAGAUAUGCGGAGGAACACCGAUGGCGAAGGCAAUCCCCUGGGCCUGUACUGACGCUCAUGCACGAAAGCGUGGGGAGCAAACAGGAUUAGAUACCCCAGUAGUCCCUGUCUCUUAUAC
This 301-nucleotide ribosomal RNA is filed under the name uncultured bacterium. RNAcentral's name for it is "partial 16S ribosomal RNA". It matches the Rfam family "Bacterial small subunit ribosomal RNA", at positions 509 to 807 of the family's 1533-position model. The record is from RNAcentral.